RNAcentral lists this ribosomal RNA (449 nucleotides) under uncultured bacterium. RNAcentral describes it as "partial 16S ribosomal RNA". It matches the Rfam family "Bacterial small subunit ribosomal RNA", at positions 29 to 523 of the family's 1533-position model. The record is from RNAcentral.
AACGAACGCUGGCGGCAGGCCUAACACAUGCAAGUCGAGCGAGGUAGCAAUACCUAGCGGCGGACGGGUGAGUAACGCGUGGGAACGUGCCCCUUGGUACGGAAUAGCCCCGGGAAACUGGGAGUAAUACCGUAUGAGCUCUACGGAGGAAAGAUUUAUCGCCAAGGGAUCGGCCCGCGUUGGAUUAGGUAGUUGGUGGGGUAAUGGCCUACCAAGCCGACGAUCCAUAGCUGGUUUGAGAGGAUGAUCAGCCACACUGGGACUGAGACACGGCCCAGACUCCUACGGGAGGCAGCAGUGGGGAAUCUUAGACAAUGGGCGCAAGCCUGAUCUAGCCAUGCCGCGUGAGCGAUGAAGGCCUUAGGGUUGUAAAGCUCUUUUACCAGGGAUGAUAAUGACAGUACCUGGAGAAUAAGCUCCGGCUAACUCCGUGCCAGCCGCCGCAGUAA